This is a non-coding RNA of Paramuricea clavata, 414 nucleotides long. The record is from the annotation of a GenBank genome assembly. Lineage: Eukaryota; Metazoa; Cnidaria; Anthozoa; Malacalcyonacea; Plexauridae.
CAACCACCCAAACCUAAACGAUCUAGAAGCAGAAAUAUAAUAUGGUUCAACCCCCCAUACAACUCCAAUGUCAUCACCAACAUUGGAUACAAGUUUCUUCAAGCUAUCGACGAUUCCUUUCCUCCUAACCACCCUCUACACAAGAUAUUUAAUCGAAACACCUUGAAAUUAAGCUACAGCUGCAUGCCUAACGUUCAUUGUAUUGUCUCUGGUCAUAACAAGAAAGUACUCAACAAACAAGACAAAACUGAAACAACUAAGAAUCAAACGUCUGAAACUAGAGUAGUGAGUGCAAUUGCCGUAAGAAAGAUUCCUGUCCUCUCUCCAGUAAAUGCUUAACAAGCAGCAUUGUUUAUCAAGCAACUGUGACUAGAAACGAUACAAAAGAGGAAAAGACCUAUGUAGGACACACAG